Long non-coding RNA from Podarcis raffonei (Aeolian wall lizard), 933 nucleotides. RefSeq lists it as uncharacterized. The record is from RefSeq and is a predicted model, not a curated record. The transcript is spliced from 2 exons. NCBI's taxonomy places the organism in Eukaryota, Metazoa, Chordata, Lepidosauria, Squamata, Lacertidae.
AGUGGUUCUAGUAAUGUUCAACAUAGAACGAAUGCUUGAAAAUUUAACAUCUGAAUUCAUAUUCUGUAUUAGAGUAGCAAUAGUGGGGCAGUUUUACUAAAGAGAUGCUUAGCAUUCAUCUUGCUUUAUAUCUGAGCUAUCUUAAUACUAACAUAGGCUUGAACCAAAAAGGAAAAUGAUACACACACCUGUCCAACUGCUGCCAUUGCUCUAAAGCAUAUUUUUAACUAAUAUGUAGAGAUGGAUACUGGUGGCAUGGAACAGUACUCUUGGGAUCUGUGCCUGAAAGCAUCUGCUUUUUGUUGCUGCAUUUUAAAAGAGAGCUGGUCCAUAACUUUUACGGUGGUGUAAAAUCCUAAACUGGUUCAACUGUUUAAAGGCAUUCCAAUUAGGUAUUCAGAUGCCCAUUAAGAACAAUCCUUUACUGCUUCAUGUUGUGGAAAUUCUGUAUAUCUUUUUAUAAAGUCACGAUACCUAGCAUUACCAACAUGUAUACAAAAUUUACUUGUUUGCUGUUUUUAUAUUGUAUGCUAUGUGAAUAAUUCUGUGGGCAUUGUUCCAGGGUACAUGUAUAAGUGAGAGAGGUUUUUAUUUAACCUUCUGCAAAGCAACAUUUGUGAAGUUUUCUUUACAGAUUUAUUAAUAAAGAGUUCUUAGGAAAUUACUUUGAGAGCCAAAGAUGGUUGCAGCUGUCUUAUGAAUGCAAGAUUCUUUUAUAUAUAUAUUAUUCUUCAGAGCUUUGAUUCUCUACAGUGACUUACAAAUAUGCAAAAAAACACAUUUUUCUUUAACUCUUCAUUUAGACAAGCCCAGGUCCUCCUCCCCACCCCCAUGUUCAUUGUAAGACUUCUGCAGGCCAGCUGAUAAGAUUCCCUCCUCUGCAGGUUUUUGUAGUGCUUCAAAAACCUAUUUUCCCAAAGAGAACAAGACAGG